This 73-nucleotide transfer RNA is filed under the name Metschnikowia bicuspidata. It matches the Rfam family "tRNA". From Rfam's summary of the family: Transfer RNA (tRNA) molecules are approximately 80 nucleotides in length. Lineage: Eukaryota; Fungi; Ascomycota; Pichiomycetes; Serinales; Metschnikowiaceae. The record is from Rfam by way of RNAcentral. RNAcentral also lists the same sequence under 6 other names.
GCUUCACUAGCUCAGUUGGCAGAGCGUCAGUCUCAUAAUCUGAAGGUCGACAGUUCGAACCUGCCGUGGAGCA